UACGUAGGGUCCGAGCGUUGUCCGGAAUUAUUGGGCGUAAGGCUCGUAGGCGGUUCGUCACGUCGGGAGUGAAACUCGGGGCUUAACCCCGAGCCUGCUUCCGAUACGGGCAGACUAGAGGUAGGCAGGGGAGAGCGGAACUCCUGGUGUAGCGGUGGAAUGCGCAGAUAUCAGGAAGAACACCGGUGGCGAAGGCGCUCUCUGGGCCUUACCUGACGCUGAGGAGCGAAAGCGUGGGUAGCGAACAGG
This 249-nucleotide ribosomal RNA is filed under the name uncultured bacterium. Its description in RNAcentral is "partial 16S ribosomal RNA". It matches the Rfam family "Bacterial small subunit ribosomal RNA", at positions 524 to 776 of the family's 1533-position model. The record is from RNAcentral.